Molecule: long non-coding RNA, 1157 nt
Filed under: Lepisosteus oculatus (spotted gar)
Lineage: Eukaryota; Metazoa; Chordata; Actinopteri; Semionotiformes; Lepisosteidae
Description: lncRNA (ENSLOCG00000022657.1)
Source: RNAcentral
GUGUUACUUUAUGAUGAUGCAGCUUUUCAAUAUACCAGAUUGUCAAGAGUGGUUUUAAACACCGUUUGUCUCUAAAACUUUCAUUUGACGGUUUUGUGCGGUCGUUGUGUUGCAAGACGUCAUGGUGUUAGAACCUGGAAGUUGCUUAAGUGCUAUAAAUUACUGUCGGCAGGACUGCUUUGAGCUACAAACACUGCUACUUUGCACGUUUAAGUGUCGUAAACAAGGUUCUGGGGUUCGAGAAUUCUCUACGACUGGCCGCUGCACUCUGGAUAGCGGGUUCGGAUCGCGAGGCAUCAUCACCCACGAAAGCAGCAGAGUUCCAGCAACUGAGAACCACAUCGUUUUCCAGCAUUGCAGUGACUACAAAGCUGUUCCUGUGACUUGGAGAACUGCUUUUUUUCCAUUCAGUCCGUCUCUGGUCACUAACUCCCUGAACUUGAAAAGGUUAGUAGAACUGUAUUAAGUGUAUGUUGGAAAGGAAUUCAGAGAUGCACUUGCUUCCAAAACACCCUCUCUGACAUUUUCCUCCCCCUCUAACGGAGCGCAAAACACAAUUCAUUUUCCAAAUCCCUUUGUUUGUUGGACACUACAGUGUCAGUUAUCGUUUGCCAUUCCUGAGUGCUAAAUGAACACACACUCAGAUUCAAACAGCAACAGAAAAAAUAACAGUAUACAAUAUACACAAAACAGUGUCAAAGAGGUUUUACAAACUUGGUUUGCACUGUUUUAGUUGAAAGGUCUUGGAGGAAAAGACUAAGACAGCAGUGAGGUCACUGAGUUGAUAGGCUUCUUGCUCAAGGUUUAAAAGCUUUCAGGGCACCAUUUGUAUAUAAAAAGAUCUGUACUCACUUUUCCAUUACCACCAUUCUAAUACAACAUUAUUUUACAGUGACAGACUGCAUUCGCAAUCAUCAUGGCCCAUUUAUUGAAUCCCCCGAUGACUUAGAAACAAGUCUGUUUUCUGUUUGAGAACUGUAGGCUUGAAGCGGUUAUCAUGAAUUGAGUUACAAGCUUUGAACUUUCCUUUAAAUUAUACCUGUGACUACCCAUGUCAAAAUCAAUAAAACUUUCUUCAGACAAAAAGUUCCCACUUUAGAAAAAGCUCCGGUUUGCCAAAAACAGCAUUUGGAAAUUAGUGCAGGUGUUAAAGACUC